This 729-nucleotide unclassified non-coding RNA is filed under the name Hevea brasiliensis (rubber tree). Lineage: Eukaryota; Viridiplantae; Streptophyta; Magnoliopsida; Malpighiales; Euphorbiaceae. The record is from RNAcentral.
AUUAUAUGCCUUACACAACAGAUCAUGUGCCUUAAACUGUGUCUAAGGAGUUACCACAAAGAAUAUGCUCAUCUUUAGCCUUAGGGUGUGUUGACUGUGAAAUUAAUUUUAAGGAUUUGGAUUUAAGCUUUGCUUAAAGUUUCUAUGUAUCUUUUCUUGAAAAUGGAGAUGUAAUUCAUAAUUGUGAUGGGAGAAUGUUUAAUUUUAUUUUGGAUGGAAGAUUGAAGCUUUAAAAGAAAAUAAGAAGAAAUGAAAAGGAAAGAAGAAGAAGAUGAAAAAGAAGAGAGGGGUAGAGAUCGUUACCUAUAGCUUUUCCCUCAAUUUCUUAGUAAUCAAAUUACUAAGCAAAGUUGAGUCACUAAAUCUGCAGAAAAAUCUGAAAAUCUGUAAAAUGACCAUAUAAACAGUAAAAUUUGCAAGGUUAUAACUCUCUCUAGAAAACUCUAAUUUAGGUGAUUCUUGAACCGAUAGAAACUUAAAAUAUAGUACAAUAUUUCGUAUGAACAACUUGAAGCCUAAUUACGAACUUAACCCAACCAAAUUGCUGAGUAAAGUUGAGUUAAUAAAUCUAUCAGAGCAGUGAACACUAACGUAAAUAGUAAAUUUUAAACAGCCAUAACUCUCUAUAGAACUCUUCGAUUUAGGUGAUUCUUGAACCAAUGAAAAUUUAAAAUAUAGUAGAAAAUUUCAUAUGAAGAACUUGGAGCCAAAUUAUGAACUUAACCCAAU